UUCCGUAGGGUGACCUGCGGAGGGAUCAUUACACAACAAAAUAUGAAGGUCUGGCUUCGCGGCCGGCUGAAAUAUUUUUUUCACCCAUGUCUUUUGCGCACUUGUUGUUUCCUGGGCGGGUUCGCCCGCCACCAGGACCAAACCAUAAACCUUUUUUUUUAUGCAGUUGCAAUCAGCGUCAGUAAAAACAAUGUAAUUAAUUACAACUUUCAACAACGGAUCUCUUGGUUCUGGCAUCGAUGAAGAACGCAGCGAAAUGCGAUACGUAGUGUGAAUUGCAGAAUUCAGUGAAUCAUCGAAUCUUUGAACGCACAUUGCGCCCUUUGGUAUUCCAAAGGGCAUGCCUGUUCGAGCGUCAUUUGUACCUUCAAGCUUUGCUUGGUGUUGGGCGUUUUUGUCUCCCUCUUUCUGGGAGACUCGCCUUAAAACGAUUGGCAGCCGGCCUACUGGUUUCGGAGCGCAGCACAUAAUUUGCGCUUUGUAUCAGGAGAAAAGGACGGUAAUCCAUCAAGACUCUACAUUUUUAACUUUUGACCUCGGAUCAGGUAGGGAUACCCGCUGAACUUAAGCAUAUCAAUAAGCGGAGGAA
This 589-nucleotide ribosomal RNA is filed under the name Bipolaris sp. Liaoning-Rsfb120. RNAcentral describes it as "eukaryotic LSU rRNA". The stretch from base 205 to 358 matches the Rfam family "5.8S ribosomal RNA". The record is from RNAcentral. Lineage: Eukaryota; Fungi; Ascomycota; Dothideomycetes; Pleosporales; Pleosporaceae.